Molecule: ribosomal RNA, 253 nt
Filed under: uncultured bacterium
Lineage: Bacteria
Description: partial 16S ribosomal RNA
Rfam family: Bacterial small subunit ribosomal RNA
Source: RNAcentral
UACGAAGGGGGCUAGCGUUGUUCGGAAUUACUGGGCGUAAAGCGCGCGCAGGCGGUUCUUUAAGUCAGGGGUGAAAGCCCAGAGCUCAACUCUGGAAUUGCCUUCGAUACUGAGGAUCUCGAGACCGGAAGAGGUGAGUGGAACUGCGAGUGUAGAGGUGAAAUUCGUAGAUAUUCGCAAGAACACCAGUGGCGAAGGCGGCUCACUGGUCCGGUUCUGACGCUGAGGCGCGAAAGCUAGGGUAGCAAACGGG